Molecule: ribosomal RNA, 508 nt
Filed under: uncultured archaeon
Lineage: Archaea
Description: bacterial SSU rRNA
Rfam family: Archaeal small subunit ribosomal RNA
Source: RNAcentral
AGGUCACUGCUAUUGGGAUUCGACUAAGCCAUGCGAGUCGUGAGGGUUCGGCCCUCGGCAGACGGCUCAGUAACACGUAGAUAAUUUGCCCUUAGGUGGAGGAUACCCUCGGGAAACUGAGAAUAAUACUCCAUAGAUCUAGACUGCUGGAAUGCUUUUAGAUUGAAAGAUUUAUCGCCUAAGGAUAAGUCUGCGGACUAUCAGGUCGCAGUCAGGGUAAUGACCUGACUAGCCUAUGACGGAUACGGGUAGUGAGAGCUUUAGCCCGGAGAUGAUAUCUGAGACACGAUAUCAGGCCCUACGGGGCGCAGCAGGCGCGAAAACUUUGCACUGUGCGAAAGCACGACAAGGGAAUCCCAAGUGCUGGCUCGUAAGAGCCAGCUGUUUCUCUGUCUAAAAAACAGAGAGAGUAAGGGCUGGGUAAGACGGGUGCCAGCCGCCGCGGUAAUACCUGCAGCCCAAGUGGUGGCCGCUAUUAUUGGGCCUAAAACGUCCGUAGCCGGUUCUA